AGAGAACGUUGUUCCAGACCCCGUCUACUCAGCAGUGAAGACAGACAGACAGAGAUACAGGUAGAGCUGUAUCUGGAUCCAGGGAAGUAAUGUACAGACUGAGUGACCCUGUUCAUCAGAACGUCAUGGUGGAUGGAAUGAGAUGCUCUCUUCAGCAGCGGUGAACAACCACAACCCUGUCAGUCCAUCUCUUUUCUUCUCCUUUCUCUUAUCUUCUCUCUCCCUCCUUCCCUUUUCACACCAACGGACUUAUCUUUAGACACUGCAGCCUUGACUGUCAUCAACAACAUCAGCAACAGAGAGGUGUGAAGUUUCCACAACAGAGUUAGAGUCAGUUUAUCAUGAGAACAUACAGACACCACUGACUGGAACCAGCUGACAGUAUCAGUUGUAAAAGCUUCAUUACUACAAACAGAAGGAAGGUUGUAGUGUUGUGUCCAUGAUGAAUGAUGUAAAGACUUCAUUACUACUAACAGAAGGAAAGUUGUAGUGUUGUGUCCAUGAUGAAUGAUGUGAAGGCUUCAUUACUACAAACAGAAGGAAGGUUGUAGUGUUAUGUCCAUGAUGAAUGAUGUAAAGGCUUCAAUGUGUUUAAUGUUCUAAUUGUUAAUGUAAAAUUGGAAAUUGCAUUUUACUAUUAUGUCAUUGUGUGUUUAUCUUGAGCAACACCAGUUUAUGGUGCCAACUUGCCAAAUAAAGCUUCCAAGGCAUGGAGGUUC
Oncorhynchus masou masou (cherry salmon) is the source of this 719-nucleotide long non-coding RNA. RefSeq lists it as uncharacterized. The record is from RefSeq and is a predicted model, not a curated record. NCBI's taxonomy places the organism in Eukaryota, Metazoa, Chordata, Actinopteri, Salmoniformes, Salmonidae. The transcript has 3 exons.